This 256-nucleotide ribosomal RNA is filed under the name uncultured bacterium. Its description in RNAcentral is "partial 16S ribosomal RNA". It matches the Rfam family "Bacterial small subunit ribosomal RNA", at positions 524 to 776 of the family's 1533-position model. The record is from RNAcentral.
UACAGAGGGUGCGAGCGUUGUCCGGAAUCACUGGGCGUAAAGGGCGCGUAGGUGGUGGCUUAAGCGUGCGGUAGAAAGCUCGGGGCUCAACCCCGAGUCGGCCGUGCGAACUGGGCUCACUGGAGACAUAGUAGAGGCAGGUGGAAUUCCGGGUGUAGCGGUGGAAUGCGUAGAGAUCCGGAAGAACACCGGUGGCGAAGGCGGCCUGCUGGGCUAUGGCUGACACUGAGGCGCGACAGCGUGGGGAGCAAACAGG